RNAcentral lists this ribosomal RNA (497 nucleotides) under uncultured bacterium. RNAcentral's name for it is "partial 16S ribosomal RNA". It matches the Rfam family "Bacterial small subunit ribosomal RNA", at positions 28 to 507 of the family's 1533-position model. The record is from RNAcentral.
GAUGAACGCUGGCGGCGUGCCUAAUACAUGCAAGUCGAGCGAACAGACGAGGAGCUUGCUCCUUUGACGUUAGCGGCGGACGGGUGAGUAACACGUAGGUAACCUACCUAUAAGACUGGGAUAACUUCGGGAAACCGGAGCUAAUACCGGAUAAUAUUUCGAACCGCAUGGUUCGAUAGUGAAAGAUGGCUUUGCUAUCACUUAUAGAUGGACCUGCGCCGUAUUAGCUAGUUGGUAAGGUAACGGCUUACCAAGGCAACGAUACGUAGCCGACCUGAGAGGGUGAUCGGCCACACUGGAACUGAGACACGGUCCAGACUCCUACGGGAGGCAGCUGUAGGGAAUCUUCCGCAAUGGGCGAAAGCCUGACGGAGCAACGCCGCGUGAGUGAUGAAGGUCUUCGGAUCGUAAAACUCUGUUAUUAGGGAAGAACAAACGUGUAAGUAACUGUGCACGUCUUGACGGUACCUAAUCAGAAAGCCACGGCUAACUACGUG